GCUCUUUGGGUUGCUAACUCAACGGUAGAGUACUCGGACUCCAUCCGACUAGUUCCGGGUUCGAGCCCCGGG
RNAcentral lists this transfer RNA (72 nucleotides) under Rheum officinale. Its description in RNAcentral is "tRNA-Lys". It matches the Rfam family "tRNA". From Rfam's summary of the family: Transfer RNA (tRNA) molecules are approximately 80 nucleotides in length. RNAcentral also lists the same sequence under 1 other name. Lineage: Eukaryota; Viridiplantae; Streptophyta; Magnoliopsida; Caryophyllales; Polygonaceae. The record is from RNAcentral.